This 25-nucleotide non-coding RNA is filed under the name Mus musculus (house mouse). The record is from RNAcentral. Lineage: Eukaryota; Metazoa; Chordata; Mammalia; Rodentia; Muridae.
CUUGUUCUGGUGACCUCAACAAAGC